ACGGAGAGUGCACUGUCAUCACUACUGGCUUGAUUUGAAGGUGAUGACAUGACAUUCCUGUCA
Molecule: microRNA precursor, 63 nt
Filed under: Callorhinchus milii (elephant shark)
Lineage: Eukaryota; Metazoa; Chordata; Chondrichthyes; Chimaeriformes; Callorhinchidae
Description: Cmi-Novel-18_pre stem-loop
Source: RNAcentral